This 492-nucleotide ribosomal RNA is filed under the name uncultured bacterium. RNAcentral describes it as "partial 16S ribosomal RNA". It matches the Rfam family "Bacterial small subunit ribosomal RNA", at positions 29 to 507 of the family's 1533-position model. The record is from RNAcentral.
AGUGAACGCUGGCGGUAGGCCUAACACAUGCAAGUCGAACGGCAGCACAGUAAGAGUUUGCUCUUACGGGUGGCGAGUGGCGGACGGGUGAGGAAUACAUCGGAAUCUACUUUUUCGUGGGGGAUAACGUAGGGAAACUUACGCUAAUACCGCAUACGACGUACGGGUGAAAGCAGGGGAUCUUCGGACCUUGCGCGAUUGAAUGAGCCGAUGUCGGAUUAGCUAGUUGGCGGGGUAAAGGCCCACCAAGGCGACGAUACGUAGCUGAUCUGAGAGGAUGAUCGGCCACACUGGAACUGAGACACGGUCCAGACUCCUACGGGAGGCAGCAGUGGGGAAUAUUGGGCAAAGGGCGCAAGCCUGAUCCAGCCAUACCGCGUGGGUGAAGAAGGCCUUCGGGUUGUAAAGCCCUUUUGUUGGGAAAGAAAAGCAGCAGGUUAAUACCCCGCUGUUCUGACGGUACCCAAAGAAUAAGCACCGGCUAACUUCGUG